UAAUGUGAUUCAGAAGCAGGGCUCUGGGCGGCAAACUAAAGAACCACAUCCAAAUGCAGAAUCUACAAGCAAGAGGUUUCCGUAUUCUGGGGAUGGACAGCACUUUCGCGCACAUGCUUUUUUCGUUUCAUGCUAGGCCGGAAAGUGAGCACUUUCCAGAAAUUGAAGGAAAACCCUCACUGAAGGAGAUACACGUUAUCUACAGAUAUAUCUUAAAACCCAGCUCUAGAAGGCCAUCUGUGAUAUAUAAGGCAGAGGGGCAAAGCUUUGCCUUGAUUCAGAAAAAUGACUCUGUCGUGUGCCAGCUGUGGGGCUUUGUGAACGUUACUGGGUGCCCCUGGAUGAGUUUUCCAUAAGUAUAAAUCUGGAAUACUUCUGUUCAGAAAGAAAUUUUAAUAAAUCCCUGCCUAAAUAUUUACCUCAAAAAAAGUGAACGCAGUCGGAAAGAUCCAAUGACUGAGGAACUGCGACUUCCGACAACUGAAGAGGAAGGGGCACCUGGGUGGCUCAGUCCAUUAAGCGUCUGACUUCAGCUCAGGUCAGGAUCUCACGGUUCGUGAGUUCGAGCCCCGCGUCGGGCUCUGUGCUGGCAGCCCGGAGCCUGGGGCCCGCUUCGGAUUCCGUGUCCCCCCUCUCUCUGUGCCCCUCCCUUGCUCACACUUUGUCUCUCUCAAAUAUAAACAUUAAAUUUUUUUUUUUAAACGUUGAAGACGAAGCUUUGGUUGCACACCUUCCAAGAAACGCUGAUCCCCGCAUGUUUCUGUCCAAGUUGAAAAGAUUCUCCCUGUGUCCCAGCACCCCACACCGCCUAGCUUGGAAGUGGCCUCUGGUGUAGACACGUGCCCUCGCUCCAGAACCGGUCAGAAAAGGGCUGGGGAUUCCACUUCAGCCCUCCGAAGUCACUCAAAUGCACCAAAGGGGCACCUUCUCCCAGGAGGCGAGGCGCCCUUCUCAGGUCCCCUUCCUACCACCCCCAACUUUAAGGCUUUCACGGGUACCCAGAGAUCAGGAUACCACCAGUCUCAUUUGUGUGUGCUUGAAUACCGCAAGCAGCUGGUUUGGGAGGCCGCUUCACAAGUAUGUAAAUACAGCCUGUUUCUUUAAAUCUGUUACCUCAUUUAUUUACAUUAGAACAGAAAGCACAGCCAGAAGCAACAGCUGAUGACAGUCAUGUAAUUUUCCACAAAGACAACAAUUAAACAGCUUUGUGUUAUUUUAGCGAGCAGAUGACUUUUCUGAGUGAGUGGGAAUCAAACUAGGAUUUCAGACUUCCCACAGCCGGGACCCCCCUCAGGUAUCUGCCAGGGUCCCUGGGACUUGAAGACCAAGCUUUGGGUCCCUCUCCCUCACAGCCAGCUCUCUCUCUCCCUCUCUCUCCCCUCUCCCUCUCUCUGCCUCCCUCCCUACCUCCUCCCUCUCUCAGAAACCCGACAGGAGAACAGGGGAAAGAAACAGGAGAGGGAGAGGUUCUACCCAGAACUGGUUUCUGCUUGGCCUGCCAAUGAAUCCACAGAAUAUUUUUGAAACCGAUUUUUAUCUUUAUUAUGUUUUAAAACUUUAUUUAUUUCUUUUGAGAAAGAGAGCAAGCCCGCGGGA
Long non-coding RNA from Felis catus (domestic cat), 1596 nucleotides. RefSeq lists it as uncharacterized. The transcript is spliced from 3 exons. Lineage: Eukaryota; Metazoa; Chordata; Mammalia; Carnivora; Felidae. The record is from RefSeq and is a predicted model, not a curated record.